GGCUUCGUAGUUCAACUGGAUAGAAUUUCAGAUUUCGGCUCUGAAGGUUGCAGGUUCGAACCCUGCCGAGGUCACAA
The sequence is a transfer RNA, 77 nucleotides long. It matches the Rfam family "tRNA". From Rfam's summary of the family: Transfer RNA (tRNA) molecules are approximately 80 nucleotides in length. Their secondary structure includes four short double-helical elements and three loops (D, anti-codon, and T loops).